This 164-nucleotide small nuclear RNA is filed under the name Sorghum bicolor (sorghum). Its description in RNAcentral is "snRNA U1". It matches the Rfam family "U1 spliceosomal RNA". From Rfam's summary of the family: U1 is a small nuclear RNA (snRNA) component of the spliceosome (involved in pre-mRNA splicing). Its 5' end forms complementary base pairs with the 5' splice junction, thus defining the 5' donor site of an intron. The record is from Rfam by way of RNAcentral. Lineage: Eukaryota; Viridiplantae; Streptophyta; Magnoliopsida; Poales; Poaceae.
UUACUCACCUGGACCGUGUCUAUGGUUGAUCAAUAAGGGUAUUGGCCUAGGUUUAGUAGCUUUCAUUGCACCUGGAAAGAGCGCUUGCCUACCAUCUCGUCAAAUAGGGAGUGAGCGUCAUAAUUUAUUAUGGUAGAGGAGGUACGCGUUCGCGCGGUUCCUUC